This 478-nucleotide ribosomal RNA is filed under the name uncultured bacterium. RNAcentral's name for it is "partial 16S ribosomal RNA". It matches the Rfam family "Bacterial small subunit ribosomal RNA", at positions 28 to 507 of the family's 1533-position model. The record is from RNAcentral.
GAUGAACGCUGGCGGCGUGCUUAACACAUGCAAGUCGAACGGGAACCCUUUUAUUGAAGCUUCGGCAGAUUUAGCUGGUUUCUAGUGGCGGCCGGGUGAGUAACGCGUGGGUAACCUGCCUUAUACAGGGGGAUAACAACCAGAAAUGGUUGCUAAUACCGCAUAAGCGCACAGGACCGCAUGGUCCGGUGUGAAAAACUCCGGUGGUAUAAGAUGGACCCGCGUUGGAUUAGCUAGUUGGCAGGGUAACGGCCUACCAAGGCGACGAUCCAUAGCCGGCCUGAGAGGGUGAGCGGCGACAUUGGGACUGAGACACGGCCCAGACUCCUACGGGAGGCAGCAGUGGGGAAUAUUGCACAAUGGGGGAAACCCUGAUGCAGCGACGCCGCGUGAAGGAAGAAGUAUCUCGGUAUGUAAACGUCUAUAAGCAGGGAAGAUAGUGACGGUACCUGACUAAGAAGCCCCGGCUAACUACGUG